This 388-nucleotide ribosomal RNA is filed under the name uncultured bacterium. RNAcentral describes it as "bacterial SSU rRNA". It matches the Rfam family "Bacterial small subunit ribosomal RNA", at positions 29 to 408 of the family's 1533-position model. The record is from RNAcentral.
AAUGAACGCUGGCGGCGCGCCUAAUACAUGCAAGUCGAGCGAGAAGACGUAGCAAUACGUUUGUAAAGCGGCGAACGGGUGAGGAAUACAUGGGUAACCUACCCUCGAGUGGGGAAUAACUAGCCGAAAGGUUAGCUAAUACCGCGUACGCUCCUUGGACUUCGGUUCAGGGAGGAAAGCGAUACCGUGGGUAUCGCGCUCUUGGAUGGGCUCAUGUCCUAUCAGCUUGUUGGGAGGUAACGGCUCACCAAGGCUUCGACGGGUAGCUGGUCUGAGAGGACGAUCAGCCACACUGGCACUGCGACACGGGCCAGACUCCUACGGGAGGCAGCAGUAAGGAAUAUUGCGCAAUGGGCGAAAGCCUGACGCAGCGACGCCGCGUGGGGGA